GCUCUCGUGGCCAAAUUGGACAAGGCACUUGACUUCUAAUCAAGGGAUUGUGGGUUCGAGUCCCACCGGGAGUG
Transfer RNA from Selaginella moellendorffii, 74 nucleotides. It matches the Rfam family "tRNA". Rfam says of the family: Transfer RNA (tRNA) molecules are approximately 80 nucleotides in length. Their secondary structure includes four short double-helical elements and three loops (D, anti-codon, and T loops). The record is from Rfam. Lineage: Eukaryota; Viridiplantae; Streptophyta; Lycopodiopsida; Selaginellales; Selaginellaceae.